RNAcentral lists this long non-coding RNA (1039 nucleotides) under Neogobius melanostomus (round goby). RNAcentral describes it as "lncRNA (ENSNMLG00000005653.1)". The record is from RNAcentral. Lineage: Eukaryota; Metazoa; Chordata; Actinopteri; Gobiiformes; Gobiidae.
AUUCCAUAUUGCAUUUAAAAAUAUAUCGAUAUAUCUUAAAUAUGGAUAUAUCGCCCAGGCCUAUCAUGAACCUCUUACUAACGUUUACUCAUAACGAGUUCAUGGGCUCAGUAUUGGUUCGUGAUUGGUUUGUGUUUGGUAACGCUGAUGUGUCGUAUUAAAGUGUCACUCUUCUGUUUUUCAGGACUCUACAAAGACAGCAGAGGGCGCCACUGAGGCCAGAGCCCCCACCAAACCCGUGGGGACUGAGUUUAUUCGUUUCUACUGCGCUUUGUGCCACGUCAUGUACUCGGAGCAACAGGAGGCCAAGGCUCACUGCAGUACAGUACAGCACUACCACAAGUACAAGGAAAUGACCGGGAAGGACCCUGGAGCUCCUAAGACUGAAGACUACGUUUCCCACAAUUCCACUGGAGCCUCAGAAUCGGCCUGUUUUAGUUUGACCUUUUUUAGUCCAUGUUCUGUUUUAGUCGUGUUAAGUUUUUACUGAAAACUGUCUGAAAAAGCUUCAUGUGUCACUGAUUUAAACUGAAAUAAAUGCUUUAAAGACUGUCUGUUCUGGAUGAGAGUUAUUUCCAAGAUUAAAAAGUCUUAAACUGGAUACAAGUCUAAUUUAGGCAUAUAAUUUCUGUUCCUAUUUUGCAAAAGUAUUUUAAUUUAAUCGAAGAUUGUUUUAAAUAUCUAUUGCCUAUUUUCCAUAGUUUUUUUGUUGUCACUUUUGAGCUCAAGUGUCCUACUUUUCAUUCUUAACUGGUCUCCCUACUUAUGGUUCUCUGCUCAUUUGUUUCUAAUUGUCCCCAUUUGUCAACAGAAUAAUAUGGAAUAUCAAAGAAACAAUAUUUCCAACACACGUUUCCUUCAUCAGGAAAAUACAAAGUAAGAAAUGACAUAAAUAAUUACACACCUGGCACGAUACACCGAUGAAAAAAAUAUCUCCCUAUUUUUCACAACCCAAUGUUGGCAAGUAUGGCCACUGCAGGUGUCGUACAUGUUGUGUUUUUUACUCUUUAAUUGUCCAUGAGAGUAAAUACUACGCUGA